Pipra filicauda (Wire-tailed manakin) is the source of this 1313-nucleotide long non-coding RNA. RefSeq lists it as uncharacterized. The record is from RefSeq and is a predicted model, not a curated record. Lineage: Eukaryota; Metazoa; Chordata; Aves; Passeriformes; Pipridae. The transcript has 2 exons.
ACGGGGCCCUUCCCUUCCCCUCACGGGGCCCUUCCCUUCCCCUCACGGGGCUCUUCCCCUCACGGCCCCGGGGCGGCUCCCGGAGCCCAGAGCGCGGCUGCUGCUCCUCUGCGUGCUCAAGGAGACACUUCGGGGCUGGCGGGGAUCGCUUGUGGUUCACCGUGAGGAAAAGCGAACCAGAUAUGGGCAAAUUGCGGAGACAUUUCAUCUAAAUGUGCUGGCAGCCAACAAAUGAUCAGCUCCUCGUAAUGCACAGCAGUGGCGGCAGGGGAAUCAAGGGAGGGGCUCAAGCUGUUUUUAAGUAACUCGUCACAAGGGUGGAAGUGACAUGGGUGUACAGAUGACAGCUUGUCCCCCAGUUUGCUGGAAUGGAAUUUUGUCACUUACCUUGCUGCACAGCAUCAACAGAUGUUGGACCCAUUGUCCUGCUCUCCCUUCCCUACUUCAGCACUGCAUACAUAGGAAUGAGGGACAGCUCCCAUCAAGGAACUCUAGUCUGCCUGAAGAGUCCAGCAAUGAAGUGCCUCUCUUCAAUUCCUGCCUUGGCCAGCAAGAUCCUCCAAAAAACUUGUGUCUUCUUCACAGUCCCCUUCUGACCUGCCAGGGUUUUCUGCAGGGCUGAGCACUGUCAUGUUGCUCUGAAGUUCUGCAUAAAGCCUAGACAAAAGGCUAAAGAUAGCAUUGGUGUUAAAUAAGUGUGGAGGGAAGGAAGGCAGAAAACCUGCGGCCAGAAUACAGCAGUGACUUGCUACCAGCCUGGCAUUCAUUUUCAAGGCAAUUAAGUGUGCAGUGCUAGAUCAGAGCACAACAGCCAGUCAGCCUCAGUUUACAUUCCUCGCAGUUACCUGGGUACACUCCUGUAAGGUAAAACCCAGGAUCUGUAGAUGUGCAAAAACUUUUGUCAAAGCUGUGGGUAUCAGGCCCAGUGCCAGGGUUCAGAGCUGUGCAGGUGCACAGGCUGAGUCAGUGACACAGCUCCCUGCCUGCAAGCCUGAGGGGAGGAGCACGGCCCAGACUUACUGACAAGGCAGGGUGGCAAAGGCUCUUGGUUUGUCCUGAUGGAGAGUCCCUUGAAUCUUUGCACUAGUAUCCUAAGGUACUUUUUAUACAACAUGUGUUAUCCAACUGUUUUUUGUAAUCAUAUGAAUCUCCAGUAAGAUGACUAGUGUUGCACCCUCCUUGUACCAGUCUAAAAACGAACGUGUACAGCAGCUGACUGCAAUGCAAGGCAGCGAUACCUUUCUGCUUUUGCUUCCUCUUGUUUCCAGGACUGAAUUGCUUAAAUAAAUCUUCCUGCAUGUGAAUUACAUCCA